AUUGAACGCUGGCGGCAGGCCUAACACAUGCAAGUCGAGCGAGCGGCGGACGGGUGAGUAAUGUCUGGGAAACUGCCUGGUGGAGGGGGAUAACUACUGGAAACGGUAGCUAAUACCGCAUACCAUCAGAUGUGCCCAGAUGGGAUUAGCUUGUUGGUGGGGUAAGGGCUCACCAAGGCGACGAUCCCUAGCUGGUCUGAGAGGAUGACCAGCCACACUGGAACUGAGACACGGUCCAGACUCCUACGGGAGGCAGCAGUGGGGAAUAUUGCACAAUGGGCGCAAGCCUGAUGCAGCCAUGCCGCGUGUGUGAAGAAGGCCGUCGGGUUGUAAAGCACUUUCAGCGGGGAGGCGUUACUCGCAGAAGAAGCACCGGCUAACUCCGUGCCAGCAGCCGCGGUAAUAC
Molecule: ribosomal RNA, 406 nt
Filed under: uncultured bacterium
Lineage: Bacteria
Description: partial 16S ribosomal RNA
Rfam family: Bacterial small subunit ribosomal RNA
Source: RNAcentral